This 440-nucleotide ribosomal RNA is filed under the name uncultured bacterium. Its description in RNAcentral is "partial 16S ribosomal RNA". It matches the Rfam family "Bacterial small subunit ribosomal RNA", at positions 338 to 795 of the family's 1533-position model. The record is from RNAcentral.
CCUACGGGCGGCAGCAGUGGGGAAUAUUGCACAAUGGGGGAAACCCUGAUGCAGCGACGCCGCGUGAAGGAAGCAGUAUUUCGGUAUGUCAACUUCUAUCAGCAGGGAAGAAAAUGACGGUACCUGACUAAGAAGCCCCGGCUAACUAAGUGCCAGCAGCCGCGGUACUACGUAGGGGGCAAACGUGCUACGGAUUUACUGGGUGUAAAGGGAGCGUAGGCGGCGAUGCAAGUCAGAAGUGAAAGCCCGGGGCUCAACUCCGGGCCUGCUUUUGAAACUGGAUGGCUAGAUUGAAGGAGAGGCAAGUGGAAUGCCUGGUGUAGCGGUGAAAUGCGUAGAUAUUAGGAGGAACACCAGUGGCGAAGGCGGCUUGCUGGACUGUAAAUGACGCUGAGGCUCGAAAGCGUGGGGAGCAAACAGGAUUAGAUACCCGAGUAGUC